Equus asinus (donkey) is the source of this 1781-nucleotide long non-coding RNA. The record is from Ensembl. Lineage: Eukaryota; Metazoa; Chordata; Mammalia; Perissodactyla; Equidae.
AGAUACCGCUUUCAGCUUGUCUGAGAAUUCGACGAUUAUUAUGGGCUGAAUGCAUGUUACUUCCAGAGGCGGGCGGAGGUGGGUCAGGGAGGCAGAUAAAAGGGGGCGUGGCCAGAAAUUUGGAGUCCGAAGCCGUCUUUUCCUGUAGCACAAAUGGAAAGAGCACAUUCUUUUAACCGAUUACACAGGGAAGCGGAAGUGUGCUAGGCAGAGGCCCCCAGUGACUGUCUCCCACACCCGGAUGAGCUGGUUCACCUGCUGUCUCUCACACUGCCUUGGGAGCGCCGAGCACGGGACUGAGAACGGGAGGCCUGGCUGUCAGCACCAACUCUGCCACCAACAGAACACGGGGCCAAACAAGUGACUGCACUGCAGACCUGUUUCUUCACCCGUGAAAGAACUGAGACAGUCUGCAUUUGUUGACAACUUACCACGUGCCUGGUCCUGUUCCAGGCGUCAGAACCUCAACUCAUGAAAUGCUCACAGCGGCCUUCUGAGCCUCUCUAGAAGCAUCAUUUGAGUUCAACCUUCAAGAGCAAACAACCGGACCUUAGGAAUUUCAAAGGCAUUUGAUAACCUUUACUGAGAGAUGAGUCAGACUCAAUUCACAAAAUGAAACUUACCCGGGAAAGUCUCACAAACUCUGGCCCCUGAGUGUAAGUGACCCGCAGCUCCAGACGCGUGGGGAAAUGGACAGACCAGCCUCGGAUGUGAAGCCUAGCAUUUCGGAAUACUUUCUGUAGUGCCGGGAUUUGCAGUUAGACAAAGGCUUUGUUUACUCCUCCAUCCACCCAUCCAGCCAUCCAUCCCCAGAACCUGGCCAUGAGUACCCACAACACUAAGCUCCAGGAACAUAGAAAUGAAUAAGGGCUUAAAAGCACAGUCUCUGCGAGGGGUAGAGGAUACAGAGUGCCAGAAGAUUGCAUCAGAUUCACGUAUGCUUGUUUUCCACUGGGCAGUCCCUGGGUGUUAAAAGAGAUGAUCUAGCCGACAUGGCUUUCAGGGACUCCUUGCCUUCUGUAAUGGGUAGUGGAGCCCUGAAGCUGCAAGCAGCCAUCUUGCUACCAUAAAGCUUGCAUGAUGCAUCUUGAAGCCAAAGCGAAGCAAGCUGAGAUGCUGGGGAGCCUGCUGAAAGCAUCAUUUGAAUCUCUCUCUAAGGCGUGUCUGAAGCAAGGACUACCACUUCUUCUUUUGCUGCUUCAGCUAGUUCAGAUAUUACAGCUGCUUUCGUGUGGAUUUUCCAGAGGAAGGGAUCGUGAACAGACAGAAGUGAGACAAAUACCAGGAUAUUUAUCUUCUUCAACCAGAAGAUAAAAACCCACCACAGAAAACAAGAAUGAUGGGGAGUUGGAGCUUUGAGUGACUGAGCUUAAAUCCUGAAUUUGGUGAUUUCCUGGAAAAGGCUUCUUGAAAUCAGAAGACUCUGAGUGCCUUUGAAGUGGCAGACUACAGCUAGCUUGAGUCCAAGCAUAGAUGAAUAAAGGUACUCUUUUUGUACAUCUGACUUCUGACUGUUGUUGUAAACCCAGUGUGUGAAGAUGGGUAAGAUGUAAUUCCUGCCUGAAGAAGUUUCUAAUCUAGGGUGUUAUAAGGUGAGGCACUGAAGCCAGGAGUUUUCUGCCGUAUAAUUUUGCGGCUGACUGGUCUUGACAUUUUAUGAAUAAAAACAGUUUAUGCUUAUAAAUUGGGCUUAUGGGGGCUAAAGUGAGACUAGAUAAAGACAAGGGCCAGAAGAGGUAAUAUUCUACUGCAGAAAUAUGAUGCCAACUGAGAAAAACAGA